GACGAACGCUGGCGGCGUGCUUAACACAUGCAAGUCGAACGCUGAAGCUUGGUGCUUGCACUGGAUGGAUGAGUGGCGAACGGGUGAGUAAUACGUGAGUAACCUGCCCUUGACUCUGGGAUAAGCCUGGGAAACUGGGUCUAAUACUGGAUACGACAUGUCACCGCAUGGUGGUGUGUGGAAAGGGUUUUACUGGUUUUGGAUGGGCUCACGGCCUAUCAGCUUGUUGGUGGGGUAAUGGCUCACCAAGGCGACGACGGGUAGCCGGCCUGAGAGGGUGACCGGCCACACUGGGACUGAGACACGGCCCAGACUCCUACGGGAGGCAGCAGUGGGGAAUAUUGCACAAUGGGCGGAAGCCUGAUGCAGCGACGCCGCGUGAGGGAUGACGGCCUUCGGGUUGUAAACCUCUUUCAGCACGGAAGAAGCGAAAGUGACGGUACGUGCAGAAGAAGCGCCGGCUAACUACGUG
Molecule: ribosomal RNA, 472 nt
Filed under: uncultured bacterium
Lineage: Bacteria
Description: partial 16S ribosomal RNA
Rfam family: Bacterial small subunit ribosomal RNA
Source: RNAcentral